RNAcentral lists this ribosomal RNA (600 nucleotides) under uncultured beta proteobacterium. RNAcentral's name for it is "bacterial SSU rRNA". It matches the Rfam family "Bacterial small subunit ribosomal RNA", at positions 78 to 674 of the family's 1533-position model. Lineage: Bacteria; Pseudomonadati; Pseudomonadota; Betaproteobacteria. The record is from RNAcentral.
CUUCGGAGUGCCGGCGAGUGGCAAACGGGUGAGUAAUACAUCGGAACAUGCCCAGUAGUGGGGGAUAGCUCGGCGAAAGCCGAAUUAAUACCGCAUACGACCUUCGGGUGAAAGGGGGGGAUCUUCGGACCUCUCGCUACUGGAGUGGCCGAUGCCUGAUUAGUUUGUUGGUGGGGUAACGGCCUACCAAGACUGCGAUCAGUAGCUGGUCUGAGAGGACGAUCAGCCACACUGGGACUGAGACACGGCCCAGACUCCUACGGGAGGCAGCAGUGGGGAAUCUUGGACAAUGGGCGAAAGCCUGAUCCAGCAAUGCUGCGUGUGCGAUGAAGGCUUUCGGGUUGUAAAGCACUUUUGUCAGGGAAGAAAUGGUUCGGGCCAAUACCUCGAACUUCUGACGGUACCUGAAGAAUAAGCACCGGCUAACUACGUGCCAGCAGCCGCGGUAAUACGUAGGGUGCAAGCGUUAAUCGGAAUUACUGGGCGUAAAGCGUGCGCAGGCGGUUUACUAAGACAGGUGUGAAAUCCCCGGGCUCAACCUGGGAACUGCAUCUGUGACUAGUAGACUAGAGUUUGGCAGAGGGGGGUGGAAUUCCUGGU